This is a long non-coding RNA of Mastomys coucha (southern multimammate mouse), 515 nucleotides long. RefSeq lists it as uncharacterized. Lineage: Eukaryota; Metazoa; Chordata; Mammalia; Rodentia; Muridae. The record is from RefSeq and is a predicted model, not a curated record. The transcript has 3 exons.
ACUAGAGGUAAACUAGAACCUUAAAGUGGUUGAAAAAGUGAGGGCUAAGUAUGGAAACAUCCUCAUAUAUGCCUGUUAAAUUUGGUCCAGAGGUUCAGUCCAUUAUCAUCAAGACAUGAAUGUGGCAACAUUCAGGCAGGCAAGGUGGAGGAGGAACUCAGAAUUCUACAGCUUCGUCUGAAGGCUGCUAGCAGAAUACUGACUUCCAGUGCUCAGCGGCAGCAGAGUCUGAAGAUGCGGCCCCGGUAACGGCAGGCCCCAGAGAGCCGUUCUCCAAAACCACAGCCUGUGAGUCUGCAAUAGCAGGUCAAGCCUGACUUCACAUCUGGAGAAAUAGAGAUCAGAUACAGUACUUAGUGCCUGAGUCAGCAGGGCAGAAGAGAUCUUAGGCAAGAUAUGUGCUGGGUGAAAUGGUUUCUCCACAUUGAUCAUUACUGAUAGCAGCAUGAGCAAUAAGGAUCAAUAAGAAUAAAUGUACAUGAUAAGAACAAAACUAAAGAAUACUCCUCACUUGA